This 253-nucleotide ribosomal RNA is filed under the name uncultured bacterium. Its description in RNAcentral is "partial 16S ribosomal RNA". It matches the Rfam family "Bacterial small subunit ribosomal RNA", at positions 524 to 776 of the family's 1533-position model. The record is from RNAcentral.
UACGGGGGGAGCAAGCGUUGUUCGGAUUUACUGGGCGUAAAGGGCGCGUAGGCGGCGCAGCAAGUCACUUGUGAAAUCUCCGGGCUUAACCCGGAGCGGCCAAGUGAUACUGUCGUGCUAGAGUGCGGAAGGGGCUACUGGAAUUCUCGGUGUAGCGGUGAAAUGCGUAGAUAUCGAGAGGAACACCUGCGGCGAAGGCGGGUAGCUGGGCCGACACUGACGCUGAUGCGCGAAAGCCAGGGGAGCGAACGGG